This 253-nucleotide ribosomal RNA is filed under the name uncultured bacterium. RNAcentral describes it as "partial 16S ribosomal RNA". It matches the Rfam family "Bacterial small subunit ribosomal RNA", at positions 524 to 776 of the family's 1533-position model. The record is from RNAcentral.
UACGUAGGGUGCGAGCGCUAAUCGGAAUUACUGGGCGUAAAGCGUGCGCAGGCGGUUUUGUAAGCCAGAUGUGAAAGCCCCGGGCUCAACCUGGGAAUGGCAUUUGGGACUGCAAGGCUUGAGUGCGGCAGAGGAGACUGGAAUUCCUGGUGUAGCAGUGAAAUGCGUAGAUAUCAGGAGGAAUACCGAUGGCGAAGGCAGGUCUCUGGGCUGACACUGACGCUCAUGCACGAAAGCGUGGGGAGCAAACAGG